This is a non-coding RNA of Mycena vulgaris, 97 nucleotides long. NCBI's taxonomy places the organism in Eukaryota, Fungi, Basidiomycota, Agaricomycetes, Agaricales, Mycenaceae. The record is from the annotation of a GenBank genome assembly.
GACCUGAUAGCAUAAUUGGCUAGUGCACCUGCUUAACCUGGGGAAGGCAUCUAGUUAUAUCUAGUAGGAGAUCUCUGUUCGAUUCGGGGUCAGGUCA